CUUACACCCCUUUAAUGAUCAGGCUGUUUUUUAUUAUUUUUAUCAGCUGAUAGCAGUUAAAAUUAUGGUAAAAAAUACUUUUAUCUGUUUUUGAUAACUUAAUGCCCAGGAAGAGCAUCUUCCUGGGCAUUAAAUAUAACCCAAAUGUUUUAUUAUGAGCAGAUCUGAUGAAGGUUUAGACAAGCAGUCUGCAAAGUAAAACUUGUUUAGAGUCCAAACUCUUACUAAAGCUUUUAAAAAGAAAAAAUGGUUGAAUUUUGAGAAAUAUCCACAACAGGGGAGCGAGACCUCUGAAAAAUGUAUAUUUUCUCUGAAUUCAUAGAAUAAUGUGAAGAUUCUGGGAAAAGUUGGGAUUCUGAGAUUAAAACGUAAAUCUUUCUAAUCAUAAUUCUGGCAGUUUUUGUGUCCUUCUGCUGUGGAAAGUCGUGCAACAUGAAGAUACUGAGAAGAUGCUUAAAACCUGUAUUUUUAUUCCAUCCAUAAAUAAAAUCAUGAGCUAUUUUUUUAAUCCAAAUUUGAUACAAAGGGCCAUCGUUGGUUCCAGACCCGUUCUAGAACAUUCCUCUAAUCUUAAAGUCAUCAUCAGUUUCUUCCUUUUAACAAAUAUUUAUUUGUUCAAAUAUUUAAUAUUUAUAACUGGAAUAUUUGUUCCUCCCUUUCCCACUGCAGUUAGUCCUGUCCUGCAACCCUGUUUUUGCAGCUUAGUGAAGCCAACCAUCACUAACCUGGGGGUGGUUUUGGACCCAGAGAUGCGGAUGGACUCCCACAUUAGCCAGGGAAGGACCUGAUUGGUGUCCAGAACCUGUUGAAGAAGCACCAGGCUCUGCAGGCUGAGAUCACAGGUCAUGAACCUCGCAUCAAGGCUGUCACCCAGAAAGGAGAGACCAUGGUGGAGGAAGGUCACUUCGCUGGUGAGGAGGUGAAGACUAAGCUGUCAGAGCUUCAUGGACGUUGGGACACGCUAAAGGCCAAGGCGUCCCAGAGGAGGCAGGACCUGGAGGACUCUCUGCAGGCCCAGCAGUACUUUGCGGAUGCUAAUGAGGCCGAGUCCUGGAUGAGGGAGAAGGAGCCCAUCGUUGGAAGUCCAGACUAAGGGAAAGACGAGGACUUGGCCGAGGCUCUCCUGAAGAAGCACAAGGCCCUGAUGUCGGACCUGUCGGCUUAUGGCAGCAGCAUCCAGGCCCUGAAGGAGCAGGCCCAGUCCUGCAGGGACCUGAAGGCCAACGAGUCCCGCCUGAGGGACAUCAACAAGGUGGCAUCUGAACUGGAGUCAGAAGGUCUGAUGGCUGAGGAGGCUCCUAUGGUUCAGGCUCAGCAACAAGAACAUCUGGGUUCUGCUCCUGGAAAGGACGAAGCCGACUCUUAACACGGCGUCACCCUGGAAGACCGUACGGUUGGGCGUUCAGACGACGGCUAACUUUAAUUCCAUCAAGGUAAGAGGAAGCUCUUCCCUUCCUGUCUGAGCGAUCCGUCUCCAGGUUUCCUCGUCCGGCGUCCAGCCCGCUGGCGUCCACCUUCAUCUCACCUUCAUCUCAUCUCACUUCAUUUAUAGUGCAAUACUUUCACAUUAUCAUUUUCCCACACUUCUGUAUACCUGUAUUUUGUUGUUUUUCAAUAAAGAAUGACAAAUUA
Molecule: non-coding RNA, 1632 nt
Organism: Nothobranchius furzeri (turquoise killifish)
Lineage: Eukaryota; Metazoa; Chordata; Actinopteri; Cyprinodontiformes; Nothobranchiidae
Source: RefSeq, a predicted model, not a curated record